CUAUGCGCCUUGCCAGCCCGCUCAGGUGUGCCAGCAGCCGCGGUAAUACGUAGGUGGCAAGCGUUAUCCGGAAUUAUUGGGCGUAAAGAGCGCGCAGGUGGUUAAUUAAGUCUGAUGUGAAAGCCCACGGCUUAACCGUGGAGGGUCAUUGGAAACUGGUUGACUUGAGUGCAGAAGAGGGAAGUGGAAUUCCAUGUGUAGCGGUGAAAUGCGUAGAGAUAUGGAGGAACACCAGUGGCGAAGGCGGAUUGCUGGACAGUAACUGACGCUGAGGCGCGAAAGCGUGGGGAGCAAACAGG
This 299-nucleotide ribosomal RNA is filed under the name uncultured bacterium. Its description in RNAcentral is "partial 16S ribosomal RNA". It matches the Rfam family "Bacterial small subunit ribosomal RNA", at positions 475 to 776 of the family's 1533-position model. The record is from RNAcentral.